AUUAAAACUCAGUGUUGAAAGUAAUAGGGUUUGUGUUAAAGCAAGAUGCAAAUAUGAUUAUGAUGUUAAACAUGAACAAGUUAUAUUGAGAGUAUUGAAACAGAGGGUGUUUGCUGUCAACAAAAAACGACAACCAUGUGUAAAUCUAAGGGCAUAUAAUAAUAAUGUUAGUCGACUUUUAUUUUUAGCUCAAUCUGAGAUUGUUAUAGUAAUGGGGGA
This 219-nucleotide long non-coding RNA is filed under the name Mytilus galloprovincialis (Mediterranean mussel). Lineage: Eukaryota; Metazoa; Mollusca; Bivalvia; Mytilida; Mytilidae. The record is from RNAcentral.